UAACUGUCUAUUUAUGAAACCUCUACUAUACUGACUGUAGUCGGCUGGGACAUGCCUCCAAAUACCAUAAAUCAAUACAUAAGAAUGAUAACAAUACAGUACAUGAACUACAACUGACUGGAGUUCCCAAAAUAAGAGAACUCAUCACCUGCUGGCUAAAAGUUGAGAACUGUCAAACCCUGGAGUAUAAGCUACAUCUGGUACCU
This 206-nucleotide long non-coding RNA is filed under the name Capsicum annuum. Its description in RNAcentral is "long non-coding RNA (CANN_LNC002648)". Lineage: Eukaryota; Viridiplantae; Streptophyta; Magnoliopsida; Solanales; Solanaceae. The record is from RNAcentral.